RNAcentral lists this ribosomal RNA (677 nucleotides) under Escherichia coli. RNAcentral describes it as "partial 23S ribosomal RNA". It matches the Rfam family "Bacterial large subunit ribosomal RNA", at positions 516 to 1194 of the family's 2925-position model. The record is from RNAcentral. Lineage: Bacteria; Pseudomonadati; Pseudomonadota; Gammaproteobacteria; Enterobacterales; Enterobacteriaceae.
GAAAAGAACCCCGGCGAGGGGAGUGAAAAAGAACCUGAAACCGUGUACGUACAAGCAGUGGGAGCACGCUUAGGCGUGUGACUGCGUACCUUUUGUAUAAUGGGUCAGCGACUUAUAUUCUGUAGCAAGGUUAACCGAAUAGGGGAGCCGAAGGGAAACCGAGUCUUAACUGGGCGUUAAGUUGCAGGGUAUAGACCCGAAACCCGGUGAUCUAGCCAUGGGCAGGUUGAAGGUUGGGUAACACUAACUGGAGGACCGAACCGACUAAUGUUGAAAAAUUAGCGGAUGACUUGUGGCUGGGGGUGAAAGGCCAAUCAAACCGGGAGAUAGCUGGUUCUCCCCGAAAGCUAUUUAGGUAGCGCCUCGUGAAUUCAUCUCCGGGGGUAGAGCACUGUUUCGGCAAGGGGGUCAUCCCGACUUACCAACCCGAUGCAAACUGCGAAUACCGGAGAAUGUUAUCACGGGAGACACACGGCGGGUGCUAACGUCCGUCGUGAAGAGGGAAACAACCCAGACCGCCAGCUAAGGUCCCAAAGUCAUGGUUAAGUGGGAAACGAUGUGGGAAGGCCCAGACAGCCAGGAUGUUGGCUUAGAAGCAGCCAUCAUUUAAAGAAAGCGUAAUAGCUCACUGGUCGAGUCGGCCUGCGCGGAAGAUGUAACGGGGCUAAACCAUGCAC